UGGUGCAUUUGUGCCUGACAGCCUGACUUGCCUCAGGGAAGCAGCUGCGGCCUAGCCCUAUGACUCAGUCACCUGUAACCUUGGAACUCUCUCCAGAUUGUGUUCAGCUGCUGGGGUGGGUCCGGAUGUUGGGGGAUGAGGUAAGCCACUUUCAAAUGAAUGCUAUCAGAAGCAAUUCCUUGCCUGAAGGAAGCCCGAGAGAAGACUUCACUUCACACUGAGGUGGCCCUUUGGUGGGAAGAAACAAUCAAUUUCCUGUAAGAAGAUCUUCCGCAAGGCACAUAUUUAUCAAUUGCGUAGUGCAAUCUAGAGAAUGUACUUGUAUGACUUGGAAUGCAGAAGACCCAGAUCUGGCUGCCCACAGCAAGGACAUUCAUGCAGCGUACCUUCAAAUCAAUCAACCUUUAUUACGGUCUUUGACUCUAAU
Long non-coding RNA from Hemicordylus capensis (graceful crag lizard), 427 nucleotides. RefSeq lists it as uncharacterized. NCBI's taxonomy places the organism in Eukaryota, Metazoa, Chordata, Lepidosauria, Squamata, Cordylidae. The transcript is spliced from 3 exons. The record is from RefSeq and is a predicted model, not a curated record.